AACGAACGCUGGCGGCAUGCCUAACACAUGCAAGUCGAACGAGACCUUCGGGUCUAGUGGCGCACGGGUGCGUAACGCGUGGGAAUCUGCCCUUGGGUUCGGAAUAACUUCGGGAAACUGAAGCUAAUACCGGAUGAUGACGUAAGUCCAAAGAUUUAUCGCCCAAGGAUGAGCCCGCGUAGGAUUAGCUAGUUGGUGAGGUAAAGGCUCACCAAGGCGACGAUCCUUAGCUGGUCUGAGAGGAUGAUCAGCCACACUGGGACUGAGACACGGCCCAGACUCCUACGGGAGGCAGCAGUGGGGAAUAUUGGACAAUGGGCGAAAGACCUGAUCCAGCAAUGCCGCGUGAGUGAUGAAGGCCUUAGGGUUGUAAAGCUCUUUUACCCGGGAUGAUAAUGACAGUACCGGAGAAUAAGCUCCGGCUAACUCCGUGCCAGCAGCCG
RNAcentral lists this ribosomal RNA (443 nucleotides) under uncultured bacterium. RNAcentral's name for it is "bacterial SSU rRNA". It matches the Rfam family "Bacterial small subunit ribosomal RNA", at positions 29 to 517 of the family's 1533-position model. The record is from RNAcentral.